GACGAACGCUGGCGGCGUGCUUAACACAUGCAAGUCGAACGGAAAGGCGCUGCAGCUGUGUGGUGCUCGAGUGGCGAACGGGUGAGUAACACGUGAGUAACCUGCCCUUGACUUUUGGAUAACUUCAGGAAACUGGGGCUACUAACGGAUAGGAGCUCCUGCUGCAUGGUGGGGGUUGGAACGUUUCGUCGGUCGGGGAUGGACUCGCGGCUUAUCAGCUUGUUGGUGGGGUAGUGGCUUACCAAGGCUGUGACGGGUAGCCGGCCUGAGAGGGUGACCGGCCACAUUGGGACUGAGAUACGGCCCAGACUCCGACGGGAGGCAGCAGUGGGGAAUAUUGCACAAUGGGCGGAAGCCUGAUGCAGCAACGCCGCGUGCGGGAUGACGGCCUUCGGGUUGUAAACCGCUUUCGCCUGUGACGAAGCGUGAGUGACGGUAAUGGGUAAAGAAGCACCGGCUAACUACGUG
RNAcentral lists this ribosomal RNA (468 nucleotides) under uncultured bacterium. RNAcentral describes it as "partial 16S ribosomal RNA". It matches the Rfam family "Bacterial small subunit ribosomal RNA", at positions 28 to 507 of the family's 1533-position model. The record is from RNAcentral.